Molecule: ribosomal RNA, 369 nt
Filed under: uncultured organism
Description: bacterial SSU rRNA
Rfam family: Bacterial small subunit ribosomal RNA
Source: RNAcentral
CGUAGGGUGCAAGCGUUAAUCGGAAUUACUGGGCGUAAAGCGUGCGCAGGCGGUGAUGUAAGACAGUUGUGAAAUCCCCGGGCUCAACCUGGGAACUGCAUCUGUGACUGCAUCGCUGGAGUGCGGCAGAGGGGGAUGGAAUUCCGCGUGUAGCAGUGAAAUGCGUAGAUAUGCGGAGGAACACCGAUGGCGAAGGCAAUCCCCUGGGCCUGCACUGACGCUCAUGCACGAAAGCGUGGGGAGCAAACAGGAUUAGAUACCCUGGUAGUCCACGCCCUAAACGAUGUCAACUGGUUGUUGGGUCUUCACUGACUCAGUAACGAAGCUAACGCGUGAAGUUGACCGCCUGGGGAGUACGGCCGCAAGGUU